UACGGAGGGUGCAAACGUUGUUCGGAAUCACUGGGCAUAAAGAGCAUGUAGGCUGUCUUGUCAGUUGGAUGUGAAAUCCCUCGGCUCAACCGGGGAACUGCAUCCAAUACUGCAAGGCUUGAGGAUGGUUGGGGUGAGUGGAACUCCUGGUGGAGCGGUGAAAUGCGUAGAUAUCAGGAGGAACACCGGUGGCGAAGGCGACUCACUGGACCAUAACUGACGCUGAGAUGCGAAAGCUAGGGGAGCGAACGGG
Molecule: ribosomal RNA, 253 nt
Filed under: uncultured bacterium
Lineage: Bacteria
Description: partial 16S ribosomal RNA
Rfam family: Bacterial small subunit ribosomal RNA
Source: RNAcentral